This 476-nucleotide ribosomal RNA is filed under the name uncultured soil bacterium. RNAcentral describes it as "bacterial SSU rRNA". It matches the Rfam family "Bacterial small subunit ribosomal RNA", at positions 26 to 506 of the family's 1533-position model. The record is from RNAcentral.
AGAUUGAACGCUGGCGGCAUGCUUUACACAUGCAAGUCGAACGGCAGCGCGGGGCAACCUGGCGGCGAGUGGCGAACGGGUGAGUAAUAUAUCGGAACGUACCCAAGAGUGGGGGAUAACGUAGCGAAAGUUACGCUAAUACCGCAUACGAUCUAAGGAUGAAAGCAGGGGGACCGCAAGGCCUUGUGCUCCUGGAGCGGCCGAUAUCUGAUUAGCUAGUUGGUAGGGUAAAGGCCUACCAAGGCUACGAUCAGUAGCUGGUCUGAGAGGACGACCAGCCACACUGGAACUGAGACACGGUCCAGACUCCUACGGGAGGCAGCAGUGGGGAAUUUGGACAAUGGGCGCAAGCCUGAUCCAGCAAUGCCGCGUGAGUGAAGAGGCUUCGGUGUAAGCUCUUUGUCAGGAAGAAACGGUGGAGCUAAUAUCUCCCAACUAAUGACGUACUGAAGAAUAAGACACCGGACUAACUACGU